GAUGAACGCUAGCGGGAGGCCUAACACAUGCAAGCCGAGCGGUAGAGAUUCUUCGGAAUCUUGAGAGCGGCGUACGGGUGCGGAACACGUGUGCAACCUGCCUUUAUCAAGGGGAUAGCCUUUCGAAAGGAAGAUUAAUACCCCAUAAUAUAUUUGAUGGCAUCAUUAGAUAUUGAAAGCUUUGGCGGAUAGAGAUGGGCACGCGCAAGAUUAGAUAGUUGGUGAGGUAACGGCUCACCAAGUCGAUGAUCUUUAGGGGGCCUGAGAGGGUGAUCCCCCACACUGGUACUGAGACACGGACCAGACUCCUACGGGAGGCAGCAGUGAGGAAUAUUGGACAAUGGGUUAGCGCCUGAUCCAGCCAUCCCGCGUGAAGGACGACGGCCCUAUGGGUUGUAAACUUCUUUUGUACAGGGAUAAACCUACUCUCGUGAGAGUAGCUGAAGGUACUGUACGAAUAAGCACCGGCUAACUCCGU
This 478-nucleotide ribosomal RNA is filed under the name uncultured bacterium. RNAcentral's name for it is "partial 16S ribosomal RNA". It matches the Rfam family "Bacterial small subunit ribosomal RNA", at positions 28 to 506 of the family's 1533-position model. The record is from RNAcentral.